CAGGUUAAUGAUUUUUUAAAUCCCUGUUUGGUCUUGGUGUAGAUUCAAAAAGAGUGAACCAGGAAACAUCAUGUAAUUGAAACACUUUUAGCUUAGAAAAGAGCAGAGCAGAGGGUAACUAGCUCAGAAUUUUUAGUUGGUGGCAUGUAUUUAUGAGAUGGAAAAGUCUAUGUCUGAGAGGGGACAGAGGCUUAUCUUCUAGCGUGGAAAGGAGAAGGGGAUGGAAGAAUCACUGAAGAGGAGAAUACAGACCAAUCUCACUCCCGUGACCCCACCCAGAAGUGAUUCAAUGCAAGAGGACAGCUUGGAUCUCCUAUGACUUCAUCUCUGCCCCAACCCAUCAGCAGCAAGCACUCAUUGCCUAGCAACCACCGGCCCUUACCCCACACUGUCUUUGAAAAGCUCCUGCUUAUGAGCCUUGGAUGAGACUGAUUUGAGUGUUAACUCCACCUCCCACGUGGCGUGGCUGGCCUCCUGUCUGUGAAACUCUUUCUUUAUUGCAGUGUUGUGGUCUUUAUUUGCGCAGUGGGCAGGAAGAACCCCUUGGGUAGUUACAAAAGGUCACCUGGAAAUGAAGUGACAACUAAUUAGGUAUGAAUCAACAUGGUGAGCAAAGGUCAGGGGAGAGGUUCACACUGCGGUGAUGGAUGGUCUCAAGGGGUUGGGUCGGAUUUGCAGUAAAAGAGAUUUUCCUGGAAUCUGAGUGAUGAAGAAUAACUUGCAAAUGCAAACUUGUUUCUCCUGCUGAUGCGUUCCUAGUCUAUGUAAGUCACUGAAAAGUGUUCACCAAUUGCUUCAACAUUCAGGACUGGGAUAUAGCAAUGUUUUCGACUGAUUUUUUUUCUUUUAAUAGACUGGUUCUUGUUACUUGAGUGGGUUAGUGACCUUGAUUGCUUUUAUACUCAUAUCCACCAAGGAAGGCUGAACCCACCCUAAACAGUUCAGCCCAGUGGAAGGGAAGCUACAUAUUAAUCUGAUUAUACUUAUUCCUGAGCAUAGUAAGAUACUAGUAUACUUCUACAUUUAAAAAAUUGUUAUGCUGUCCUGGAAGCUUAAAUGAAUGCAAUGCAGUCCUUCUCAAUGACAUUCAAAUGCACCCAAUUCCUCUUUUCCAUCACUCCUAUCAUUCUCUCUAGACCCUAGUCCUCACCUGGACACCUGCAGCAGGGCCUAACCGACCUUCCUCUAAUUCAUUCACCACACACUGCCCAGAGUGAUGUUCUAAAGUACAGUGACCAUGCCACUCCCAUUAAUAAAAUCUUUCA
This 1265-nucleotide long non-coding RNA is filed under the name Homo sapiens (human). Its description in RNAcentral is "HSALNT0197238". Lineage: Eukaryota; Metazoa; Chordata; Mammalia; Primates; Hominidae. The record is from RNAcentral.